RNAcentral lists this long non-coding RNA (724 nucleotides) under Olea europaea (common olive). Its description in RNAcentral is "long non-coding RNA (OEUR_LNC014650)". The record is from RNAcentral. Lineage: Eukaryota; Viridiplantae; Streptophyta; Magnoliopsida; Lamiales; Oleaceae.
GAAAGAAGUGAAAAGGGACUGAAUUGAAGACAAUUGAAAGAUGGAGGACUAAAGGUGCAAAUACUCAAAAGAUGUGCCGAAUGAGUGGUAUGAGAUUUGAUGGUGUCAAUCAUCAAUUGGAAGAUAAAAUUUGUUGAAAAGAUGAAGAAAUCGAAGAAAGAAGUCAAGAGAAGCAACAAGGAAGUUCAGGGACCAAAAUGUAAGGACUACAUAGUUGGUUAUAUCUAUGCGAUUGCAUAGUGUAACCAUCUAUGCGGUCACAUAGAUGGUUCCAGGAAAUGUUGGGGGAAAAUUUAUUGGUCUAUGAGACCGCAUAGAAUCCUUCUAUGCGGUCGCAUAGUGAUAAUUCGGGGGCCUCCGUUGCAGUUUUUUGUUUUCGUUGAAACUCUUUUCCUACUUGAUUUUUACGCGAUAUAAAUACCCAAAAAUCAUAAAAUUGAGGGCAGGAACAACCAGAGAGAAGAAAUACACUCAAUUUGAAGGCAAGAAACACAAUCUUGGGCUUGAUUUCACAAGGAUUCAAGAAGGAAUUGAAGAUUACACACAAAAUUGAAGGAUUAUCAUACGGGUGUAUUCUUUAUAUCUUUUAAUUUUGUUUUAAUUCUUGAUUCUGUAAUUAUGAUCAUAGGCUAGGGUUUUUAUUCAUUAGGAAAUCGAUGAACCUUUGAUUAUUUAAUUUCCUUUAUUUCAUAAAUUCAAUAUAAAGUUUCAGUUGGACAAUUGU